Molecule: non-coding RNA, 93 nt
Organism: Myotisia sp. PD_48
Lineage: Eukaryota; Fungi; Ascomycota; Eurotiomycetes; Onygenales
Source: the annotation of a GenBank genome assembly
GGCGCUGUGGCAGAGUGGUUAUUGCGUUAGCCUUGAAUUCAUUUCAGUUAGCUAAUUCCUUCGGGAGCAGCGGUUCGAACCCGCUCGGCGUCG